CAUAAAUGUAGCCUUUUCUCAUAAAUAAUGUAACAGCUAAAAAUUGUUCCCACAAAUAUCUAGGGGCACAGUUGUUAACUAUUGCAAAAGAAAUAUCAUAAUAACAGUCCGCAACUGUUCCCUUUUCAGUUUAAGGGAACAAUUAUUUAGCGUUUCCUAUAAAGAACUGGCAACAGUCAUAAUGUGUUGACUAAGCCACUUUUAGGUAACAAUUUUUACAUGUUGCAUAAAACAUUGUUGCCAAAGACAACAAUUGUUGUAGUG
This 264-nucleotide long non-coding RNA is filed under the name Trifolium pratense (red clover). RNAcentral's name for it is "long non-coding RNA (TPRA_LNC005991)". Lineage: Eukaryota; Viridiplantae; Streptophyta; Magnoliopsida; Fabales; Fabaceae. The record is from RNAcentral.